UCAGGAAGCGACUGUGAUCAUAUUAGUGAGACAUGAUAUGACUUGGCCGUCUGGCAAGGGUGGGUGAGGUCAGAAAUAGUCAGAGUCUAGACCUAACACUAGAUGACCUGAUUUGCUGAUCACCUGAAUGUGGCAUGUGAGAAAAAGAAGAGAGACAAAGGUGGUUUUGAGAUUUUUGGCCUGAGCAAUUGCAAGAAUGGAGCUGUUUGACAUUAAUGGCAGGGAGAAGGGGUUGGAGGAGCAGCGUGGGAGGCACCGUCAGGAGCCCGGUGCUGGAUGUGUCUAUCUGAGGUGCCUGUUGGUCACCCAAGUGGUAGAGGACUCCAAGUGGAGACUGGAGCUCAUGAGAGGACAGUAGUCAGAUACGCAUUUGGUGCCCACAGUAAAUAGACGGCCAUUAAGGUCAUAAGACAGAAUGAGAUUAGCAACGAAGUGCAGACAAAAGACAGAGAGAGAAGUCAAGGCCUGAGCUUUGAGACCUCCAGCAUGAGGAGGCCAGGGAGAUGAGGAAGACCAGAAAAAUAGUCUGGGAAAGAAAGGCCCAGGCAAAAGGAAAACCAGGAGAAUGGGGUGUGCUGGAAGUAGACGCAGCGUUUGAGGGGAGGAAGGAGUGGUUAUCUGUGUCGAGAUGAGGGCUAAAAAUGACCGUUGGUCUUAGCCAGGUGGCGGCCACUGCCGGGCCCCAUCUUCUGCAGAGACAACCCUUCGAUGUGCUUUGAUCGUGUCUCCUGGCCCCUGCCUUAGCCACAGGGGCAGGAUCAUGGGCCCAGGCCUGGCCAAUCAUGUGACCUUUUCCCCUGGCCACAGUGAUUGGUUUAGAGAUGAGCAUGUGGCCCACACUGGGCCGAGUAGAUUUUCUCGGGAGGUUUUCUCCUGGAGCUGCUAAGUGUUGGGAUGUAAGUCAUGGCCUCUCGCAGACAUCCUGCCUGUCAGGUGGACUCACUCUUUCUAAGAUAGAGAGAGAGAGAUCCCUGAAAAUAGCAUUUGAACCAGUUCUGGAUCCAGCUCUGCCCAAAGCCUGCUACUCCCUUGGGCUAAAUUUCAUUUCCCAGCCAAUAAACUCGCUAUUUUUAAGCUAGUUGAAUCAGCCUCUGUCUCUUGCAUCCAAAAGUGCUCUAACUAAGAAUCCAAGGAGAGUUCUCUGGAGUCCGCUACUCAAUAGUGGGAGCAAGUGUGCGGAAGGGCGUGUUGCUGACUCACUGGCCACACAAAGACUGACCAGAGAGGGCUUUGAGCCACUGCUCAAAGACGCUGGCAGUCCUUGCCGGGCAGCCCUCUAAAUGAAACCUUAUUAAGCAACCCCUGGCUUCAACACUAUUCUUAGCUGCCUGGAAUUGCGUGGAGGAGGCCAGCCGGGGCACAGCCAAACAGGGUCACCUCCCUAUCUCCUCCUGUCGCAGCGUCUGACGCAGGCCUGAAAUCUGGGGCAGAUGGAUUUUUCAGCUCAUCUCGUCACUCUCCUCUACCUGGGCAGACGCAUGAGUCAGCCUUGGGAACAGCUCUGAUCUUCUCACCCUGCACCCCGACAAAGGUGAAUUAUGCUCCAGUGAUAACCCCUGGUUACCUACGGUACGUAAACCAGUCAAGACUUCAGAGAGCUCCGUAAUAUCUAUGCACAAAAGGUCUUGGUAUAAAUUCCUUCCAUCUAAAAUCAUUACCACAUUGCUUGCUUCUAUUUUGGGAUUUCUUAUGUUCCUGGAGAAGACCCACCUUUCACACCAGCCGUUUCAUCAUCUAACUAUAGUUAAGACUUCUUCCAAUCACACACUUUCCUCCAUCAUGGAAUAUGAAGGAUACGAAUUAAAUGAACCUUAUUAAAUGCAGUGCCACGCAUUUGGAAUUUGUAGCAUUUGACAGAAGCUGAAAUGAAAUUUACUUGUUGCUCAGAUAAUUGUGUAUUGUGUACAUUACUAGACUGAACACUUUUGUAGGAAGGGUGAAUUUAAAGUGUUUAACAGGAAAACUGUUUUAAACACCCUCCAGCACUUUAAAAUGUCACAUUGCACCCAAACAACUGAUUCCAGGUACGCAUAAAUCUUCUGUGUUCACAAAACAAGUCUGCAAGGGUUUCUGGUGGGCGGCUGUCCUUUAGCCUCCUAUUUAUUUACUGCAAUAAAACUAUGUAAAAACCCUAUCCUUCACCCCUUUCGCUAAUUUACUUUGGUCUUUUCUACGAUGGUCUAAAAAGAAAUGUUUUACUUUAUGACUUUACCCUUCAAUAAGGUAUAUUCUUGGUGCCACAACUGAAUUCUGCUUCCUAAGUCACAGAAAGAAAAUGUUUUCCAAAUUCUUUCCAUACUUCCUGUAGGUGGGACACAAAUUGCAAGAGAAAAAAAUCCUGGAGGCUCAGAACCAGAUAGGCCUUUCUUUCUGGAAGAGUAGUUUCAUUCUCCGAGCUCUGGUGCUUUGAGGCUCACAUCAUGAUCUCUGGGGAGAUGAGCAGAACCCAGCCUCUCGUGUGUUGGUUAAGGGAGCGCUAGCUGCUGUAACAGAAAAAUGCCUACGUCCUGGCAGGCUUACGUACUGAAAGUUUAUAUCUCGAUCACGUAACAGGCAAAGCUGACACUUCUGGUUGAGUAGCUCUCCUCCACGAUGUGACCCAAGGGCUCCUUUCGUCUUGUGGCUCCAUCAAGUUCAACAUGUGGCUCCAACAUGGUCCCAAGAGUUGACUCAUUACAGCCAGGUGGGAAGAGAAAAGUCCAUGACAGACUGCACGUGGGUUUAUGAUCCAGGCCUGGAAUUGGUGCGCAUCAAUUCCGCUUAUUUUCUACUGACCAGAGCAGGACUGAUGGCGGACCAUGGCCACACACCCCUGCAAGGACUUGGACACGUAUUAUAGCUGUGUGCUGGUGUUUGGGUGAACAUGUAACAAUUUCUGCCUUCUGUGGUUGGAGUCAAGAACUUUUGACUCCAGCAGUGGCCAGGCUCUCGCUCUGAAGGUACUGGGGAUGCUCAUUGGGGCAGGCCCCCAGAGACUGAGUAAAUUCUGUUAUUAAAUUAA
Equus caballus (horse) is the source of this 3001-nucleotide non-coding RNA. The record is from RefSeq and is a predicted model, not a curated record. Lineage: Eukaryota; Metazoa; Chordata; Mammalia; Perissodactyla; Equidae.